GGGUGUGAUCAUACCAGCGUUAGUGCACUGUAUCCUAUUAGAACUCCACAGUUAAGCACACUUGGGAUAGAGUAGUACUAGGAUGGGUGACCUCCCGGGAAGUCCUAGUGUUGCACCCU
This is a non-coding RNA of Picea glauca (white spruce), 119 nucleotides long. NCBI's taxonomy places the organism in Eukaryota, Viridiplantae, Streptophyta, Pinopsida, Pinales, Pinaceae. The record is from Rfam.